This 71-nucleotide transfer RNA is filed under the name Cordylochernes scorpioides. RNAcentral describes it as "tRNA-Gly". Lineage: Eukaryota; Metazoa; Arthropoda; Arachnida; Pseudoscorpiones; Chernetidae. The record is from RNAcentral.
UGCAUCGGCCGGGAAUCGAACCCGCGCAGCCCGCGUGGCAGGCGAGCAUUCUACCACUGAACCACCGAUGC